Molecule: transfer RNA, 62 nt
Filed under: Eisenia nordenskioldi pallida
Lineage: Eukaryota; Metazoa; Annelida; Clitellata; Crassiclitellata; Lumbricidae
Description: tRNA-Val
Source: RNAcentral
CGGAGUAUAGCAUAUAUAAUGCUUUUUACUUACACUAAAACUAAAACACUAGUUUACUCCGC